Molecule: ribosomal RNA, 308 nt
Filed under: uncultured eukaryote
Lineage: Eukaryota
Description: partial 18S ribosomal RNA
Rfam family: Eukaryotic small subunit ribosomal RNA
Source: RNAcentral
CCCUUAGAUGUUCUGGGCCGCACGCGCGCUACAAUGGCAAACUCAGCGAGUCUCCUUUACCGACAGGUAUAGGAAAUCUUUUCAGUGUUUGCCGUGAUGGGGCUAGACCCUUGUAAUUAUUGGUCCCCAACGAGGAAUUCCUAGUAAACGCAGGUCAUUAACCUGCAUUGAUUACGUCCCUGCCCUUUGUACACACCGCCCGUCGCACCUACCGAUUGAAUGGUCCGGUGAAGUCUCCGGACUGAGUACUUUUAGUACUUGGGAAGUUGACUAAACCUUACUAUUUAGAGGAAGGUGAAGUCGUAACA